AACGAACGCUGGCGGCAGGCCUAAUACAUGCAAGUCGAACGGGCGUAGCAAUACGUCAGUGGCGGACGGGUGAGUAACACGUGGGAACAUGCCUUUCGGUUCGGAAUAAACGCAGGGAAACUUGCGCUAAUACCGGAUGACCCGGCGACGGAAAAGAUUUAUCGCCGAAAGAUUGGCCCGCGUAGGAUUAGCUAGUUGGUGAGGUAACGGCCCACCAAGGCGACGAUCCUUAGCUGGUUUGAGAGAACGAUCAGCCACACUGGGACUGAGACACGGCCCAGACUCCUACGGGAGGCAGCAGUAGGGAAUCUUGGACAAUGGGGGAAACCCGUGAUCCAGCCAUGCCGCGUGAGUGAUGAAGGCC
RNAcentral lists this ribosomal RNA (364 nucleotides) under uncultured bacterium. RNAcentral's name for it is "bacterial SSU rRNA". It matches the Rfam family "Bacterial small subunit ribosomal RNA", at positions 29 to 416 of the family's 1533-position model. The record is from RNAcentral.